Cornus florida is the source of this 1817-nucleotide long non-coding RNA. RefSeq lists it as uncharacterized. Lineage: Eukaryota; Viridiplantae; Streptophyta; Magnoliopsida; Cornales; Cornaceae. The transcript has 4 exons. The record is from RefSeq and is a predicted model, not a curated record.
UCCGAGCCCUAGGUUUUCUCUUCAGCCUCCCCAAUCGCCUCCAUCUCUAUUCUCGGUCUCAACUCUGAACUUGCCCCUCUCUCUGUAACUCCCCAAUCGUGCGCCUCUAUCUCUAUUCUCAUUCUCAACUCUGAACUUGCCCUCUCUCUCUCUGACUCCUCAAUCGCCUUCAUCUCUAUUCUCAUUCUCAACUCUGAACUUGCGCCCUCUCUAUCUCUGCAACUCCCUAAUUGCCUCCAUCUCUAUUCUCUUUUCUCAACUUUGAACUUGCCCCUUCUCUCUCUCUGCAACUGCUAACUAGAAAAUCUACAAGAAUCGGAAGUUUAAAACCAUAUAUUUCAGUUUAUUUUGUCUGUCUACAAGAAUCAAAAGUUCAAAACCUAUUGCACCACAGCCACCACCAUCACUCCACCCCAUAUCAUCACACCACCUUGAGGCCAACCCCUCUCUCUCUGUUCGAGCUCUCUGCUAUGGGUUUUUCGGUGAGAUCUCUGGCCAAACCUUGGCCUCUCACUCUCCGGCCGACCCUUGGCCAAGGAGAUAACAUUCUCAUCUCGCCGCCAUCCACCGCUGCAAUUUUCGGUCAUCUUCUCUGGUGAAUCUCAGGCCGUCAUCUCAUCGUUCUCAGGUGAAUGAUGGGAGGAGCAUCAAUCCAUCUGAGCUGCAAGAGAAGUUGACCGACUUAGUCAUCCGGACUUCAAGUUAGAUCCCCUUUUAAUUUUUGUUUCUCUGAUGUUUUUGUUUUCAAACUAGAAUGGGGCUUUGAGUUGGAUUUUGAAGUGUGAACUUGUGGUGCUUGUGGGGGCUACUUUAUACUCUUGGGAAGUUUGUUGUCUAUAUUUUUGUGAAUCUGUCCCACACCCGGCUCUGAACUUGGAGAGCUUUCACUGCAUCACCAUAAUGGAAGCCGUUAACAACGGCAAGGAUCUUCACGUCUCCGUCACCAUGCCUUCCAUUGAGGUGAGGACAAUCUCAAGGGAGCAAGUAAGAGCACUAAGGAAAGCUGUUGACGAUGUAAGUUGCAAUCGUUCACUUUGAAUAGUUUCUCCAUGCAAACUACGUUUUCAGAGGCAACUUAAAGAAGUGUUUUAGAGAGUUUAAAGUUAAAGCUAGAAAAAAGAAAGUUUGAAGAUGGGGUUAUGGUUGUGCUUUCUAAAUUUCCUUAGCUGAUGUGAAAACUUUUAAUACAUUUUGAUGGGUUCUUUUGAGAAAACUUGUGGUUGUGUUUACUACUUUUGUGAAAAUUAUUUUCAUUGUGUAUACUUCUUUUGUAAAAACUUGGUGUUCAGUACAGUAUUAUCAAUUAGUAGACAUGCAAUUUGGAUGGUAUUUUCAUAUUUGCAGAUUAACUUGUAGUUGCCUAAAUCCAUUAAUAUACAUCUGGAUGAUAAUUGUUUUUAUAUAUAUAAACAUGUUUUAUAAAUGGGUUUCUUUAGGGAAAGAAAAAAAACCAAACCAAAACAAAAUAAAUAAAUAAAUAAUAAAAAUACGAAAAAAAAUAAAUAAAUUGGUAAUCACCAGCGCUUUAAAGAGCGCUGGUAUAGACCAAAACAAAAAAAAAUAAUAAUAAUAAAUAAAUAAAAAAUUGGUAAAUACCCCUUUGCCAGCGCUUCUGGAGAAACGCUGGUAAAGGGUCUUUACCAGCGCUUCUGGAGCAUUGGUAAAGCCCUACCGACACUGGAUUUACCAGAAGCGUUGGUAAUUCAAUUACCCGCGCUUUUUAAGGCUUUUACCAGCGUUUUUGAGCGCUGGUAAAAGCCAAAACUGUUGUAGUGUUAAAAUCGAUUAUCUUUAGUGGAUUGAUCUAAAAAAAUAAU